UACGAGGGGGGCGAGCGUUGUUCGGAAUUAUUGGGCGUAAAGAGCUCGUAGGCGGUUCAGUAAGUCGGGUGUGAAAACUCUGGGCUUAACCCAGAGCCGCCACUCGAUACUGCUGUGACUUGAGUUCGGUAGGGGAGCAGGGAAUUCCUAGUGUAGCGGUGAAAUGCGCAGAUAUUAGGAGGAACACCGGUGGCGAAGGCGCUGCUCUGGGCCGAUACUGACGCUGAGGAGCGAAAGCGUGGGUAGCAAACAGG
This 254-nucleotide ribosomal RNA is filed under the name uncultured bacterium. RNAcentral describes it as "partial 16S ribosomal RNA". It matches the Rfam family "Bacterial small subunit ribosomal RNA", at positions 524 to 776 of the family's 1533-position model. The record is from RNAcentral.